UGCGUAGGCAGCAAGCAUUGUUCGGAGUUACUGGGCGUAAAGGGUGUGUAGGCGGUUCUUUAAGUUUGGUGUGAAAUCUCCCGGCUCAACUGGGAGGGUGCGCCGAAUACUGAGGGACUAGAGUACGGGAGAGGAAAGUGGAAUUCCUGGUGUAGCGGUGAAAUGCGUAGAUAUCAGGAGGAACACCGGUGGUGUAGACGGCUUUCUGGACCGUAACUGACGCUGAGACACGAAAGCGUGGGUAGCAAACAGG
This 253-nucleotide ribosomal RNA is filed under the name uncultured bacterium. RNAcentral describes it as "partial 16S ribosomal RNA". It matches the Rfam family "Bacterial small subunit ribosomal RNA", at positions 524 to 776 of the family's 1533-position model. The record is from RNAcentral.